Molecule: ribosomal RNA, 456 nt
Filed under: uncultured bacterium
Lineage: Bacteria
Description: bacterial SSU rRNA
Rfam family: Bacterial small subunit ribosomal RNA
Source: RNAcentral
GCUGAAGGUUGGUACUUGUACCGACUGGAUGAGCACCUCAUAUUUUUUGAGUAACGCGUGGGGAAUCUGCCUUUGAGCGGGGGACUAUAUUUGGAAACGAAUGCUAAUACCGCAUAAAAACUUUAAACACAAGUUUUAAGUUUGAAAGAUGCAAUUGCAUCACUCAAAGAUGAUCCCGCGUUGUAUUAGCUAGUUGGGGAGGGAAAGGCUCACCAAGGCGAUGAUACAUAGCCGACCUGAGAGGGUGAUCGGCCACAUUGGGACUGACACACGGCCCAAACUCCUACGGGAGGCAGCAGUAAGGAAUCUUCGGCAAUGGACGAAAGUCUGACCGAGCAACGCCGCGUGAGUGAAGAAGGUUUUCGGAUCGUAAAACUCUGUUGGUAUAAAAGAACGUUGGUGAGAGUGGAAAGCUCAUCAAGUGACGGUAACUACCCAGAAAGGGACGGCUAACUA